UAUUUAAAAAAAAAAAAAAAAAAGGGAAAGAAAGUGAAAUCGCGUGCGUUUCCCCUCCCUCAACUCUUCUUCUUCUCUUCUUCUCUACGUGCCCUAGUCGCCGCCCACCGUCUCCUCAUCGAUGUCGUUCGAGUUCGUGCGCCACUUGUUGUCGUUGCCCAUUAAUCAAGCCGAGGUGUUCACCGUGGGUCUGCGUCGUUUAACCAUUUGUGAAGCCAUCAUCGUGCACGUCUUUCUACAUCCAACGACUACUCAAACAAAACUCGUCCCGAGCCGUCGUCGUUCCGUCGGAGCUGAAGCCGGAGUGUCGUCCAUCCGUGCCUGUGUCCAUUUGUGAAGCUCCGUUGUAGCCGCCAUCGCCAGUCGUUUGCGAAGCAGUGGGCCGCGAAAUCAUCGGUCACGCGACUCUCCGUUCGAUCUCGCUUGCCCCCAUCUGUAGAGUCCGUCUCUCCGUCGCAAGCGUUUUGUCUCUAUCUCCAUUGAAGCUGAAACUGACCGAGCCACAUCAUCCACCAUUCGCAAGGCCGCCGACCGUUCACGCUAUCUCACCGUCGCGAACCACUUUGUUCGUGAAGUUGUCAGUCGUUCGCGAAGUGGUGCGUCGUGAAGCUGUGUCUGCCUCCGUUCGCAAAUCUGAAGUCGCGCGCGUUCGUGUCUUCCAAAUCGCUCGUGUAACGCAGCUUCACUUCUCCAACCGGGAUGGGUCACAUCCAAAUCUUUCUCUAGCGUGGGUCGAUUUCACCUGUGCUAAGUUGCAAUUUCUGCCAGACCACAAGAACUAUUGGGUUUUAGUGUAAGUUCGUAAUUGUGGAUUUGAUGUAUUCCGCAUGAUUGAUUCGUUGAGAUGAAAUGUUAAAUUUAAACGUUUGGUUAAUAUUGUUCUUUGAAGGUGUUAAUUGAGGCGGAGUUAGACCUCAUGAAAUCGCUACAAGUUUGUUGGGUAAUUGACAAAAAUAGGCCAAAAAUGGGGUAGAUAAAGAAUUUUAGGAUUGAUUUGUAAAAAAGUUGACAUUUAGGACAAAUUGGAGGUAAAAUGACGAAAAUACCCUCAUUUCAUGUUCAACAUUUCUAUUUAAGAACCUGCGAGAUGUCUACCAGAUGUUUGCGAGAUAAAAUAAUAAAAAUAAUAAAUUGUUUUAAUUGUUUUAUUUUUUUAAAAAAUCCUAAUAUGAAUUGUGUUAUAUGUAUAUAUAUUUGCAUCUUAAAUGUAUCAAGUUGAUUUAUGGUUGAUUUAAGGUUAUUUUAGAGAUGUUUCAAAGGAUGUUAGCAAUUUAUUAUUAUUAUUAUUUUAUCUCGCAAACAUCUGGUAGACAUCUCGUAGACAUCUUGCAAACAUCUCGCAGACAUCUCGCAUGUUCUUAAAUUGAAAUGUUUAAUCUGAAAUAAGGGUAUUUUCGUCAUUUCACCUUCAAUUUGUCCUAAAUGUCAACUUUUUUACAAUCAAUCCUAAAAGUCUUUAUCUACUCCAUUUUUAGCCUAUUUUUGUCAAUUCCCCAAGUUUGUUUGGAGUUAAAUUCUCUAUUUAAAUUAGGAUUGGUGCGUUGGAUUUUGUUGAUCAAGAAACUUAGAAAAUCUUAAGGCAAAGGUAACAAGGAUGGCAAACCGACGAGGGGCAGGAAGGAAGUGUGAUUGCCAUAGGGAGUAUGUUAUUUUUUAUUCCGCUUUAUGUUUUUUAUGUUUAAAACAUUGUGAUGGAAUUGAGCUUGCAAAUGUUCUAUAUUUCAUUUUGUAUCAAUCAAGGUCUUUUGUAAAAAAUUAACGAGUUUGGUCGUUACACAUAUACUAGAAAACAACUAAUGUUUUAAUUACAUAUAUUACAUAUAAUCAUCAUAAUUAUUUCUCA
Molecule: long non-coding RNA, 1843 nt
Organism: Cucumis sativus (cucumber)
Lineage: Eukaryota; Viridiplantae; Streptophyta; Magnoliopsida; Cucurbitales; Cucurbitaceae
Exons: 2
Source: RefSeq, a predicted model, not a curated record